AGUUGCUCCCUGGGAGCAGGGUUUGGAGCGGGUAUACCCAGAGCAAGGAAGGGAACCAGGAGUUGUAGAAAGCAGUCCAGGGAAGGAAUAGCGAUGGCUGAGAGAGGAAAGCCCAGAACUGCUGGGUGCAGGAUCCUCGGAUUGGAACUUAGAGUAAUGGGUGGGCCUGGGUUGCCUGUCUGCCACUGAGGGAAUAGUAUAUAGACCAACUGUGCAGGGAAUUAGAAGAAUGCCUGGGUCAUUGUGGGAGUUGUGGAGAAUUUGAAGGACUUGUAUCCUGGAAGGGGGAAAAUGCUGAUUGACCUAGCUGGAGAGCUGGGUCAUGAAGAAGACACUGGUUCCUGGACAAAAGAGGAGCUGAAGAUCUAUGAUAGCAUGUGAUCAUGGGAAGGCAUGUUUACCUGGAGAGCUAAUCCCCGGAGUGACCAGGAGGAGGUGCCAGACAAGCGGUUGGUUAUCCUCUGCCUGUCAUUGGGCUGACGUCAUAAACAGAAAACCAAGCCACGAUACCUGCAGUGGUGAGACCCCAAGGACAGGAUCUUUAUCAACGGCUGAGCAGCAGGCCAACCUGAGGUGGAAGAAUCAGAGGUCCAAAGAAGAGAUAAUUGGAGCCCUCCUCACAGAAUCAAGGAAAAACUACUGAGAACAGGAGAGUAUUUUGGAUAUCUGAGAGAAGAAAGGCUGCUAUCUAGAGACAACACUGAACUGGCCCAAGACAGCAUUGCAUGACCAAAGGCACUUUAGAGGAAGACAGAGACAUGCAGAAGCAUCUCCUGGAGGCAAUGAACAGGCGGAACAUGCUGCUAAUAUGCCAGCAGACAAUGCAGUACGUUCAGCCAAGACCCAGCUAUACUCUGCAGCUCCUGGAGUAUAGAGUACUGAGAACACCAGCAGAUAUUCCUGCUAUAGCUCCAACUGCCCAGCAAGGGGCAGCAAGAACACCACCACGUGGGAGCCCACCAUUUUUGAGCUAUCCAAUGUAUCUUGCAAUUUUGAACCCCGACAUACAAUCCCAGAAGGCAGAAGCAGCAAUGGCAAAAUGUAAGGCUGCUUGUGAACAUGAGUCUCCUCUCCUCCCCCUCACUGUGUGUAUGUUGCCCCUUCCACUUCACUAUAUGUGAAUAUCACCCUUGUUCACUCUUUAGCUGUGUCUCCAUGUUUAACAUUUUUACUCGCAAUGAUUUUUUUUUUCAAAGUUUUAUUUUUAAUAU
Dermochelys coriacea (leatherback sea turtle) is the source of this 1211-nucleotide long non-coding RNA. RefSeq lists it as uncharacterized. Lineage: Eukaryota; Metazoa; Chordata; Testudines; Dermochelyidae. The record is from RefSeq and is a predicted model, not a curated record. The transcript is spliced from 3 exons.